RNAcentral lists this ribosomal RNA (309 nucleotides) under Triticum aestivum (bread wheat). Its description in RNAcentral is "partial small subunit ribosomal RNA". Lineage: Eukaryota; Viridiplantae; Streptophyta; Magnoliopsida; Poales; Poaceae. The record is from RNAcentral.
AUGCGUGUGUGUGUGUGUGUGGAGUUUCACCAUGACCGUGUAGUGUGUGUUCUUGAGAGAGACAAAGAGAGAUGGAGAUUGAGUUGUGAGAGGCAGCUCAGGAGGAAGAAGAAGCGGUGCUGCAAGGAGAGAUGGCGCCAACACGGGGGUUGUCGCAUUGGUUUUGCAUGGAAUAGGAAAUUACUCGGCGGGCCAUGGGAUGUCGAAUCUCCUGCCCAUUCUGAAGGCAGUGGUCGUGCGAGGCGGUGCUGGGGUUGGCGCUCAGGUUCAGGUUGUGUUUGGGUUCAGUGCAUGGAUGGAGUUGCAUGA